This is a long non-coding RNA of Zingiber officinale, 622 nucleotides long. RefSeq lists it as uncharacterized. Lineage: Eukaryota; Viridiplantae; Streptophyta; Magnoliopsida; Zingiberales; Zingiberaceae. The record is from RefSeq and is a predicted model, not a curated record. The transcript has 3 exons.
UGCCCAAGAUCGGACCCCUCCACUCCGACCAAUUGGUGCUGGUGAUUGUGGCUUCAUUGCGGUUGUCCUUCCCUUGCCAAGAAGUGUCUAUAGAGGGAUUUUUGGCUACUUAUGGCUUGUUGCAAUCACUGGACCUCUACUUUGACCAUUGUCUUGCCCAAGAUCCAGUGCUGGACAUCAUUUUCUGGUUUUGAUAUGAAGUUGCAGGACAUCUUCCAAACAUCAUCAAUUUAGCUAGAAAUAAGGAUUCAACAGAGGGAUAUUGUUUGGGAGUUCAGCAGUCUCAUCUUGCCCUAGUUACCAAUUUCCAACAGCCAACAAUUUCGGCUUUGGAUCAACCACGGUGCAUCCGAAAUUGGGAUUUGGGUUUGAGGUGAGUGUCUCGAUGUGGGAUUGGUCUAUCUAACGCGAUCGACUGAUAAAGGAGGGUAUUUCUUCCUUGGCCUCUAUGUAGAUUUUCUUGUACUUAGUGCGUGGUUAUUAUUAGAUGAAUUAGGCUGUUUUAUCUUAUAUCAUGAUCGGUUGCUGUUUUUCCUGCAUGAUACUUAUGCUUGACCGUUUUGAUGAUCUAUUUAAUUCAUAUAUAGUCUCAACUCUUGAUAUCUACUCUAUUGUGAUUACA